RNAcentral lists this ribosomal RNA (491 nucleotides) under uncultured bacterium. RNAcentral's name for it is "partial 16S ribosomal RNA". It matches the Rfam family "Bacterial small subunit ribosomal RNA", at positions 29 to 507 of the family's 1533-position model. The record is from RNAcentral.
GUGAACGCUGGCGGUAGGCCUAACACAUGCCAGUCGAACGGCAGCACAGUAAGAGCUUGCUCUUACGGGUGGCGAGUGGCGGACGGGUGAGGAAUACAUCGGAAUCUACUUUUUCGUGGGGGAUAACGUAGGGAAACUUACGCUAAUACCGCAUACGACCUACGGGUGAAAGCAGGGGAUCUUCGGACCUUGCGCGAUUGAAUGAGCCGAUGUCGGGUUAGCUAGUUGGCGGGGUAAAGGCCCACCAAGGCGACGAUCCGUAGCUGGUCUGAGAGGAUGAUCAGCCACACUGGAACUGAGACACGGUCCAGACUCCUACGGGAGGCAGCAGUGGGGAAUAUUGGACAAUGGGCGCAAGCCUGAUCCAGCCAUACCGCGUGGGUGAAGAAGGCCUUCGGGUUGUAAAGCCCUUUUGUUGGGAAAGAAAAGCAGCAGGUUAAUACCCCGCUGUUCUGACGGUACCCAAAGAAUAAGCACCGGCUAACUUCGUG